This 274-nucleotide ribosomal RNA is filed under the name Salmonella enterica. Its description in RNAcentral is "partial 16S ribosomal RNA". It matches the Rfam family "Bacterial small subunit ribosomal RNA", at positions 1 to 271 of the family's 1533-position model. RNAcentral also lists the same sequence under 7 other names. The record is from RNAcentral. Lineage: Bacteria; Pseudomonadati; Pseudomonadota; Gammaproteobacteria; Enterobacterales; Enterobacteriaceae.
AAAUUGAAGAGUUUGAUCAUGGCUCAGAUUGAACGCUGGCGGCAGGCCUAACACAUGCAAGUCGAACGGUAACAGGAAGCAGCUUGCUGCUUCGCUGACGAGUGGCGGACGGGUGAGUAAUGUCUGGGAAACUGCCUGAUGGAGGGGGAUAACUACUGGAAACGGUGGCUAAUACCGCAUAACGUCGCAAGACCAAAGAGGGGGACCUUCGGGCCUCUUGCCAUCAGAUGUGCCCAGAUGGGAUUAGCUUGUUGGUGAGGUAACGGCUCACCAA